CUGGGCUCAAGAGAUCCUCCCACCUCAACCUCCCGAAGUCCUGGGAUUACAGUCUCACAGAACCAUGGGGGCCACCAUAAACCUCCACACAAGCCUCCUAAAAAUUCUCUACCUUGGCUCAAGAGUAUGGGAGUCACGCUGCAGACAAUGGAGGUAUAAGAAAGACAUCCAAGGCCCCUGUGAGCUUCUCAAUCUCCACAGGCAUCACUAAAGGUGGGUGCUAGACUGAAAGGCAUGUCCAUCCUCAUGGGCAAUCUCAGGAUUCUCUAAGUCCUCCAAGGAGGCCAGCAAUGGCUUAUGUGGGCCUGGGUCACCCCUGCCAGCAGGGACUAGUACUAAGGAUGAGAUCCACCAAUGGCCACAGCUGAGUUAUGCCAAAUGAGAUGUCCAGACCUCAUGGUGCCUAGGAAGACAGAUGGCAGAAGCUCAGCCAGGCCAUGGAGAUUAAAACAGUGCUAGGGGCUUAAUGUAUGUUUUUAAUGGGUCUGCUACAUGUCAAGUUUGGAUCUGGAGUCCAGCCUAUAAUCCUAGCAAAAAUUAAACACCAAAUAUGAUAUUCAAUAAAGUGUAUGUGGCUAAAAACAUACGUUGGAAAUACACAUAACUAGAAACAUCCAAAUUCAAAGAGAAACUGCUAAUUCCACAAACAUGAUAGAGUAAUUUAAUAAUGAGAUCACACAUACAUAAAUAGUAAAUAUGAACUGUAUAUUUAUCUGAGUUCUAAAGACUUUUUUUUCCGUCUCAGUACACUAGUGGGUAUACGUCACCAGUAAAAUCAAAGGGGUAUUCCAAUUACAUUCAUGAUAUUAAUAAGUAUGAUAAAUGUAAGUAGCCAGAACCAUGGAAUUGGGGCUACAGCUGUGAUCUUCAAGAAACGUAAAACUUUAAAAACACUCAUAAACCAAGAAAAAGAUAAAACAGGAGUUACUUGACUUUCCAAAUUGUUACAAAUUCAGUACAUAUUAAUAAGACUUAAAAAGAUAAAACAAUUUAAUAAAUAAUAAAAUAAUGUAAUGAAUGAACAGAUUUGACAGAAAUCAAUAAUUAAAAAGUUUUGAGAGCAAAAUCAUGAAACUGAAAAGACCCACGGUGGAAAGAAAAAACACAGGUUAAUAAAAGAGACUGUAUUUAUUUAAAAGUAGUAAUUUAAAAUCUAAGAAAUGGGAAUAAUUAUAUUCCAACAUGAAUAUGUAUAUUACUUUCCACAAAAAGAGUAAAAACUUUCCCUCAUUAAUCAGCACAAAAAUCUGAUUAGCCAAUUUUAAUGUUUAAGUUAUAUAUCAGAGUUUAACUGUAAAAGUGAUUUGUGAGAGUUCUUACAUGUGAAAUCACUUCUAGUUCCUUUGUAACCUAAGUUAUUUUGAAGGAGAAAAAUAAGCCUGUCCUCAUUAGUUUAUUAUGCUAAUCAAAAUGAACAUGAAUGUAACAAUAACUACAAAUUUAACCAACAAUUUUCCUUACUUACAUUUGCAAAAAUCAUCAAUACAAUUUUAGCCAUUUGGCUAUUUAUUUUGGCCACCUGGCCAUCACUGGUAUGGUUAAAUAAUGACAGAGCAUGGUAAAGUGGAGUUUAUUGCAAUAAUAAAAGGAUAAUUCCAUACUAGAAAACCUAUCAUUUUCACAAAGUAAUUUUAAAGAUUAAAAAAAUCACAUUAAUAGACCUUUGAAAAAACAUUUUCAUAUAAUUUAAAUCUUUAAAAAUAAUAUAAAAUCUUUAAAAAUCAUACCAAAUUGUGGGGACUAAUUCUUCUUAAUCAAUAAAAUCUCAACAAUAUAUUCAGCAGUUAACAAAAGAACCAUUUCCACUAAAGGUAAGGCUGGAAAAAGGAGGCUGGGUGAGGCUGAUGCCAUUCACCACUGCACAUGAUGCCUGAGGUGGGACCAAAACAAGAGGGAAAAGGAGAGGGACUACAAAAAUGGAGUCAAAGAGCUGCAACUGUAGUUAUUCUCAGAUGACGUGACUGUAAACUUGAAAAAGUGGAAUCAAUUCUAAUUAUCAAUACUAAUAAGAAUAUUUAAAAAGUGGGCAAAACUAUUAUGAAUAUUCUGAAAUCAAUAUUUCCUGUUUAGCAACAUUAGUCCUUAAAAAAAGCAAACACACAAAAUCAGUGUCUAUUUACAACAGGCAAAUAUUAUGACUACGAUUUGAAAUAAAUUUGUAGACCCAUGUAAAUAAAUUUUAAAACUUAAUGAGGAUAUAAAAAUGACAUGAAUAAAGCCUGAAAAUCCUAUUAUUAGAAUGGAGGACAUAGUGACAUAAAACCUCAGUGACUGUAGACUCAGGGCAACCUAGACUUAAAAGUCCCAUGUGGUCUUUUACAUGUAAAAAAUGAGAAUUAGUCUAAAAGUCAAUUUUGUCUAAAUUUUGAUUUUUGGUGAGUAUACAGUCAAAAUAGUUGUGAAAAGAAAAAAAUAAAGUUGUCAAAUUUCAUGUAACCUAUGUUAUUUGGAAAUUUAAAAUAAGUCAUAUAAAUAUUUAUAACAAUAUUAAACAAUUUCAUAAGUGGACUGAAUAAAACAUAAUAUUUUAUCAUAUACAAUAGCUCCUGCCUUCCUGAGGAAAACAUAAAAUCAAAGGGCGUGAAGGAAGGAUUUUGGUUUCACUGCAGAAACAUAAUAAGACACCGAAGUGUGUGUUUGUGUGUGCGUACAUAUAAUUAAACUACAGAAUAUAAAAUAGCAUCUAAUAUACAUCAAAAAUGAGUUUCAUAGAAAAAUUCAUUUUACACAUAUGUCUAUAAAAUAAUAAAAUUUAUUCAGCCUCACAAUUACUUUGUGAACUGGAAAUAACAAUGAGUUGUCAUUUUAUCCAAAUCUAAAAAAAAAAAACAUACAUACAGUAUCAAGUUCUGGUUAAAGUAGUAGAUGAACUUUAUGUGGUACAUAAGAGUAUCUAUACAGUUUGUGGGCUGCAUCUUGCUAGAAUAUAUUACAUUAUAAAAUGCACCAUUUAUUUACUCUGCGAUCAAACCCCCAACUUGCCCCAAGUGGAGGAACCCUCAGACAUUUGCAGAGCAGUCAGUGUGCUAGUAAGCAGCAUUCUUUACAAAUCUAUGAACAUCAAGGUCUCCUUGGAACAGAUGUUCUGUGAACAAUUUAUAAAACUCCCUCCUGUUAGACACUUAGGUUGAUUCCAUUUUUAAAUCAAUUACUGAAUAAAACACACUCCAUCGUGUGGAUGAAAUGCUACCUUAAUUUGUCAAAGCUAUCAUUUUCUAAACUUUUCUUUUUAAUUCAAAUCAUUAAUAUUUUGUGGCCAGAUCAAUACUGAUUCAUUGUUUUAAGCUUCAAAUGCAUUAUACAGUUGGGCAGAACACAUUUCCUCUCAUCAAUCUUCUUUUCCAGGAUUUGUCAGAUAUUCCUGACAUUAAUUCACUACUAAUAUGCACAGUUUCUCUAAUCAUGGUCAACAAAGAUCUGACAGUGCAUUGUCCCUAAACGACCCAUACUUGCCUCACUGACACCAUGUGGCCCACUUCCCAUCUAUAAUCUAUGUCUGGGUGUGAAGCCCUUCCCAUAUGAUCCCCCGAAUGGAACUUCACAAGUUCGAAUUCACUGGGUCACAGUGUGAUAGCGUGAAGAUGGGAGGACGUUAAGGGAAGGCUAUGGGUGAGUUGGGAAAUGUGUUAGGCAGGGUCAGAGAUUACCACAUCCUAAAAACAACACUUAAGGCGGGAGAUGACAAAACAAUCAAUGAAUAACAUGACUUUUUCCAGUGAAAGUGCCAUAUCUAAUCCUUUUCCAUUUUUGUUCUCUGAGCUUCUUUCUUAGGGAAGAUCCUUCUUGAGAAGCCCCUGCUGAGUAUUAGGAAAAUGCAUUUCAGGACCUCUCAUCAACACACCCUCUUUCUUUACCACAACCACAUAUAUGGGGGCAUAACUCAACAUGUGUAAAAGACAAUCUUCUGCUUUUCACUGAACCUCCAGGAAUUCAGGACAAUAAACCUCUACAUGCAGACCAACAGGUGAGUUUUUCUGCCCCUUCUUUCAUAACACCGUUCUUCCCUAGUGAAGUCCACACACAUCCUUACAUGGCAGCUGUGGGUAUAUCAACUGGUCUGACCCCUUUUAGUCACAGAGCCUGAAGUCUGCUAGUACCUGCUGAGCACAGUGUCAUGGGUGAGAAUGGGCAAGGCUUUUUCUUUCUCUGGUUCCUGAACUUCCCAGGCUCUCUCACUUCUGGAUCCUGAAUACCCAAAUCCCAAGCUUCCUUCCCAGAACCAACACCUCCUCCUCAUUAGAAAGAUACCUUUGUUGUGUGCUUACUUUAUAAAGUCUUGCUCUUUCCCUGUCCACUGCCUUGUGUCACUAUGUGUGUGUCUUGGGGCCGGUGGAAAGGUGAACAGAAGCCAGUAGAGAGUAACAAGCACCAGCUUCACAGGAAUGGCAUGACCUUAAUACGAUAGUGGCAGUUUUCCCUUAACAUCCCUGCCCCCUAAAGAUUUCAGAUCAUAUGUCACACUCUUAAGUAACAGCGAUUUGUCUUUCACGGUUUUAAUCAUAUUGAUUAAAAGCAUUUGUCUUCUCCAGAACAUCACAUUAAGUCAUCAAAAAAUAUAAACCUUAAAAAGAUGUAAUUAUUGGAACUGAAAAACAUAAAAGGUGAGCUUUGGAAAUAUCUUUGAGCAGUCUAUUCAUUAUGAACACAUGUAAUCUGUUGGAACAAAGUUCUAGGACAAUCCAGGUCAUCCUUCAAUAUUUGCAGAAAACAGCACAAAGAAAACUUGAUACUUAAACUUAGUUGGAAACUUUAUGCCACAGCCAUUAAAUACAGAGAUCAUAUAAAGGAAUAGAGGAAGCUGUUGAAUACUAAACUAACUCAAAUCAUCAUUAUCCUUACGAAGUGCACACUGAAUUAAUGUAAAAAGCAUUUAGUAAACAAAAAGUAUUUUCAAUAUACAAUUAAGACUGAAAAGUAUUGAGGCCUCAUAAGCUGAACCUGACACAAUAAAUUUAAAAGGGAAACUAAUUUGGAAAUCAGAAAACCAUCUAAAGAAUUUGGGAAUUAGGCUUCUGCUGCCCUCUCUGCUACUGACGGUCAAGGCCUCCUCAUUGUAUUCUGUCCUCCAUAUCUCUGCUGAUUCCCAUUUUGUCUAUUUCCAUUUACCCCACUACUACUUGCUCAGGUCACUCUCCUUCAUUGUCGGUGUUUGUUCAAAUUCCUCAGACCCAUCCACUUCCCAUCUAAACUUCCCUCCCCUUUUCUCGCUCGUUGGCUCUACCUCCCUCCUCUGUUUUCUCCUCACUCUCCUGCCCCACCUCGACAUCCACAGCGAGGCAAUGAAGAAGCCCCUGCCAAGGAAGAGCCCGCUUCUCAGUGGGACACCGGGAAGGUAAACACCCAACAGUCACCGCUAGUGGGAGGCGAUUGUGCAGAAGCACGAGGGUUGUUACAGGAUCGGGCAGGUCCCCUACCCCAGUCUCGGACUCAGGGUCCUGUCUGAGGCGGCCACCCCGAAGCGUGGGGUUUGCGGAGACGUAGGGCCUGGCGGAGGGAAGGAUGGGGAAGCAUCUCAGGGAGGACUGGCGUCUGCCGAAUCCCAGGGCUGCCCUGAGGGGCCAAGAGGGGCGAGGGUGGGGACGAUGGAAGACAAGCCACAUGCCGAAUCGGGACCUGAGGCCGCGCGCGAUAGGAUGGGCGGACGGUGAAGAGAACUAGGGUGGAAGGGCCGGACAGGGGCGACCUCAGUGACGGAACCGGACACAGACGCAGAUCUGGCAGCUGGGCGACAGGCUUCGGAGCAUUUCCGGGCGUCGCGGGACUCCCCGCCGACAGGAGGGCGGUUGCCGAGCCUGUGACAUCCGCGGAGACCAGCAGACCCCGGGUGUGGAGGACGCCGCAGGAAGGGAACUGCGUGGCUGGGUUUGGCCACAAAAAGCGGAGGGCACUCACCCGAGCGGACCUCGGCUCCGGAGAAUCCGUUUCCGGGUCAACAAAAAAC
This 5941-nucleotide long non-coding RNA is filed under the name Homo sapiens (human). RNAcentral's name for it is "PREDICTED lncRNA (TCONS_00253371)". Lineage: Eukaryota; Metazoa; Chordata; Mammalia; Primates; Hominidae. The record is from RNAcentral.